This 3623-nucleotide unclassified non-coding RNA is filed under the name Hevea brasiliensis (rubber tree). Lineage: Eukaryota; Viridiplantae; Streptophyta; Magnoliopsida; Malpighiales; Euphorbiaceae. The record is from RNAcentral.
ACCACUUCCAUCUCACAUCAAUACUCACCUCCUCUCCUAUGCUAUCAUCCUUUUCCGCCGUCAACCCCCACUCUCCUCACGCCACCUAUCCUAUCGAUUCUCUCCCAUUCGCUUUUCUAAACGCUUAUCUCACAACUCUGUCACUCUGUCUCACGCGAUCGCCCCUCUCUCUCGCUUUCUCUCUCUAGAAACAAAGGCGAGAAACGAACCGAAAACCAACUCUUGCUUUCGGAGGAGAAAAACAAAAGAAGGGGAAAUUUACCACUCUAAUGUCUUCGCGGAAAUCGAUUUUCUCUCGAAGGAGUUCCAAGUCGUUCAGGUCUGUAAACAAUCAUAAACACGACGGCGGAGGAGCGGUGGUGUCCGGCCGUCUCGGCUGCGAUGUUUCCGGGGAGUGGUGGGCCGAGUCGGACCCUGUGGAUGGCUGGGCGAACAUGUUGCCUGAAUUGCUUGGAGAGAUAAUAAAACGAGUGGAAGAGAGCGAGGAUCGGUGGCCUCAGCGACAAAACGUUGUCGCUUGUGCUUGUGUUUGUAAGAAAUGGAGAGAGGUUACUAAGGAGAUCGUUAGGUCUCGUGGCAAUAUCGGCAAAAUCACUUUCCCUUCUUGCCUUAAACAGGUCAAUUUUCAUAUUUUGUUAAAAUUUCUUCGGUUUUUUCCCCUUCUUUUUUGGUAGAGUGAUUGGCUGCGCAUUGUGGAAUGUCAGUAUCUUGAUUAUUUCGUAGGGAUUUUUUUUGUGAUGUUAGUAGUUUUGAUUUUUUUCCAUAAAUAAUGCAUGAAAUAUAAGCCGAAAUCUAUCUAAUUUAAAUUUUCCUUGAUAGUUGAACUAUUAUGUAGAUUUUAUGUGAAUAGUUAUUGAUAUGUUUUUUGCAAGGAAUUCUUCUUAUAGGUUAGUUAAUUGAGAAUUUUUGUUAGUGCUCCUGGUUAGUUGAACUUUCAGGUUUGAAUUAUAUGUGUUUUUUUUCUUUGAUGUUUCCUGUGCCUGGAGUUUUCAUUUGUUCUCAUUUCUUGGUUAUUUCUAUGUAUAUUGCUUCAGUGUUGUACAUACUGUGAAUCUAAUUUUCAUAGGUUCUGCAAUAACUUUUUGGUGUAAAAAUAUCAACAAUCAGAAAAUUGAUUGAAAAUGUGGGAAUGAAGGUUCAGAAAAUUUUGAAUGUUGAAAGCAAAUAACUUUACUGUUCCAGAUAAUAUGAAAGUCUUGUCAUUUAAAUUGUUUUUGGAUUGUUCAUUUAGCUUCUUGAUUUAUUUUUUGUGGCUUCAACAAUUGGUGGUCAAAUAUGUGUAAAAUUUUGCAAUGGUCCUUUUGUUUUUAUUGCAAAUGCAGCCGGGCCCACAUGACUUACCUCAUCAAUGUCUUAUAAAACGGAAUAAGAAGACUUCAACGUUUUAUCUCUCUCUUGCUCUUACUCCAUGUGAGUAGUUAUUGGUGGACUUGAUUUUAGAACCAAAAGAGGAGCUUCGGGGCUUCUUCAGAUUUAUGCUUCUUCUGCAGCUACAUUAGUUUGACAUAAUCAUUUAUGCUUAAAUUUUUAGUAUUAAAACUGAAAGGGAAAGGAUUCAUUUUGUCAAACCUUUAGAUUGACCUUUGUCUAUAUGGUGAUAUGAUAUUUUAUCACACAUGGCAUUCCAAAGUCAACUUGACUCAUUCUAAAAUUGACAAUAUUCAGUCUGUAAAACAAAGCUUGUUCCAUUUAAGAGUCACACCUAAAUAUUGACUAACAUGAUAAUUUUAAAUUAAAAAGGAAAGACAAUUUUUGGGAUUGAGAACGGUUAUGUAGCACAUGAAAAUUUUUUAUAUUAAAACUAUUACUGUUAAAAGCUUUGAUCUUUUUGUCUAUACACAACUAUUUUGUGGUGAUGAGUGUAGCAUCAAACACAAAAUGUUCAAUGGUUUGGAAAGACUGGUGAUUUUAUUUGGAAAGUUAAUGCAUGACAUAUCUUUUGUUAACAGUGAAUUUUAUAAAUGUGAGAGGUUUAUCAUAGAUUAUUGAAUUUAUGUUUCAUCUUGCAUGGACUUGAUUAUCAAGUUUGUUAUUGGCCUUCAGUUCUGUUAGCAUAUAUAUUUUAUUUGUUUUCUGUUUGUCCUAUGUAACUUUUGUAACGUAAGUUAUUGAAGUCUGGCUCAUUUGAGGUUGUAUUUUAUUCUUCUUCCUAGCAUUAAUUGAAGUCUGGCUCAUUUGAGGUUGUAUUUUAUUCUUCUUCCUAGCAUUAAUGGACAAGGGAAAGUUUCUUCUAGCAGCACGGAGGUUUAGACAUGGUGCUCACAUAGAAUAUAUCAUCUCACUUGAUGCAGAAGAUCUAUCCCAAGGAAGUAAUUCAUAUGUUGGAAAAUUAAGUUCGGACUUUCUUGGCACCAACUUUACAAUCUACGACAGCCAGCCACCACACAGUGGUGCAAAGCCCUCAAGUAGCAGAGCUAGCCGCAGAUUUGCGAGCAAACAAAUAAGCCCCCAAGUUCCAGCAGGCAAUUUUGAGGUUGGACAGGUCUCUUACAAAUUUAACCUCUUAAAAUCAAGAGGUCCCAGAAGGAUGGUGUGCUCACUGAAGUGUCCACUAUCACGAGAAACUAUUAAUGAAAAACAUCUUGAAGACUCCGUGAUGAAGGGACCAGAGUCUUCAGUUUCUGGCUAUACAGUUUUGCGCAACAAGGCCCCGAGGUGGCAUGAACAUCUGCAAUGCUGGUGCUUGAAUUUCCAUGGUCGGGUAACUGUAGCAUCAGUGAAGAACUUCCAAUUGGUUGCAACUGUGGACCAAAGUCAGCCAGGAGGAAAAGGAGAUGAGGAUACUGUCCUCCUGCAGUUUGGGAAGGUAGGAGAUGAUACUUUCACCAUGGACUAUAGGCAGCCAUUGUCAGCUUUUCAGGCAUUUGCAAUAUGCCUUACGAGCUUUGGCACAAAACUGGCAUGUGAGUAGCUUAUAUGCUGUUAUUAUAAUUAUUGAAGUUGUGAGUUAUGUUGGAUGCUUUAAUAUGAGUAGUUCGUUUCACAUCGCCUUUACGAUGUUGGUUUGGUUGGAGGAAACCAAUAAUGUAAAUGUUGUUUAUUGUAUUAAUGACAGGACUCGAAAUUAUUGGUUCCCAACAAUUUUACGUUUACCAAGGAUGGUUUUUGUUUUCUACAUUCAAGUCUCUGAAAAAAAUUCACUGUCAACAUUCUUCAUAUGAAGGAUUUGGGUUGUAGAUGCAAGUUGGAUUCUAUGGAAAUAGUAUCCUUUACUAAACUCCUCCGAUUGUGAUUCUGCAUUAACUUAUUAGCAGUCUUGAUAUUUUUUUUUUUAUUGCUGAAGAUAAAAAAUACCAGUUCUUGUACGUAGUUUUAAAUGCCCGUAACCAAAGCCUUGACCACUCCAUGUCCAUGGAUGACUAUUGCAACAUUUGGAAGAUAUCACUCAGAAAUUUUGUGGAGUAGCUGCUAUCUGUUAAUCCAACGAACUGACUUCCGAUCAUAGCAUGUUGCUAAUGAUGAGAGGGGGCUGUAUUAUUUAGUUGAUGGUUAUUAGGUUGAUUCUGUUUUCAUCCUUGAACUUCAAAUCGUUGCUUUUGGUUCCUUUUGUAAUUCCUUAUCUUUUAACUGUUCUUUGUAAUUCCUUUUUAUUUAUUGAAUUUGGAGUAAAUCUUUGAUUAAAA